Molecule: ribosomal RNA, 560 nt
Filed under: uncultured bacterium
Lineage: Bacteria
Description: partial 16S ribosomal RNA
Rfam family: Bacterial small subunit ribosomal RNA
Source: RNAcentral
UGGGGAAUAUUGGACAAUGGGCGCAAGCCUGAUCCAGCCAUGCCGCGUGAGUGAUGAAGGCCCUAGGGUUGUAAAGCCCUUUCAGCGAGGAGGAUAAUGACGUUACUCGCAGAAGAAGCCCCGGCUAACUUCGUGCCAGCAGCCGCGGUAAUACGAAGGGGGCUAGCGUUGUUCGGAAUCACUGGGCGUAAAGCGCACGUAGGCGGACUUUUAAGUCAGGGGUGAAAUCCCGGGGCUCAACCUCGGAACUGCCUUUGAUACUGGAAGUCUGGAGUCCGAGAGAGGUGAGUGGAACUCCGAGUGUAGAGGUGAAAUUCGUAGAUAUUCGGAAGAACACCAGUGGCGAAGGCGGCUCACUGGCUCGGUACUGACGCUGAGGUGCGAGAGCGUGGGGAGCAAACAGGAUUAGAUACCCUGGUAGUCCACGCCGUAAACGAUGGAAGCUAGCCGUCAGGGUGCAUGCAUCUUGGUGGCGCAGUUAACGCAUUAAGCUUCCCGCCUGGGGAGUACGGUCGCAAGAUUAAAACUUAAAGGAAUUGACGGGGUCAUAGCUGUUUCCU